This 107-nucleotide small nuclear RNA is filed under the name Salvator merianae (Argentine black and white tegu). The record is from RNAcentral. Lineage: Eukaryota; Metazoa; Chordata; Lepidosauria; Squamata; Teiidae.
GUGCUUGCUUCGGCAGGACAUAUACUAAAACUGGAAUGAUACAGAGAAGAUUAGCAUGGCCUCUGCGCAAGGAUGACACACAAAUUUGUGAGGUGUUCCAUUUUAAA